This 468-nucleotide ribosomal RNA is filed under the name uncultured bacterium. Its description in RNAcentral is "partial 16S ribosomal RNA". It matches the Rfam family "Bacterial small subunit ribosomal RNA", at positions 28 to 507 of the family's 1533-position model. The record is from RNAcentral.
GACGAACGCUGGCGGCGUGCUUAACACAUGCAAGUCGAACGGCAAGGCCCUGCUUUGGUGGGGUGCUCGAGUGGCGAACGUGUGAGUAACAUGAGAGUAACCUGCCCUUGACUUUGGGCUAACUUCCGGAAACUGGGGCUGAUACCGGCUAGGCGUCCCUGUUGCUUGGUGGGGGAUGGAAAGCUUCGUCGGUUGGGGAUGGACUCGCGGCUUAUCAGCUUGUUGGUGGGGUAGUGGCUUACCAAGGCUUUGACGGGUAGCCGGCCUAAGAGGGUGACCGGCCACAUUGGGACUGAGAUACGGCCCAGACUCCUACGGGAGGCAGCAGUGGGGAAUAUUGCACAAUGGGCGGAAGCCUGAUGCAGCAACGCCGCGUGCGGGAUGACGGCCUUCGGGUUGUAAACUGCUUUCGCCUGUGACGAAGCGUGAGUGACGGUAAUGGGUAAAGAAGCACCGGCUAACUACGUG